AACGACGCUGGCGGCAGGCCUCAUACAUGCAAGUCGAGCGAUUAAGACUCCUUCGGGAGUGUAUAAAGCGGCGAACGGGUGAGUAACAGGUGGAUGAUCUACCUUCCGGUGGGGGAUAACGGCUGGAAAACGGCCGCUAAUACCGCAUUCGGUUAAUACGCUGUGGCGUAUUAAAGAAAGGCGCCUCAAAGCGCCGCCGGGAGAUGAGUCCGCCCCCCAUUAGCUAGUUGGUGAGAUAACAGCUCACCAAGGCAACGAUGGGUAGCCGAACUGAGAGGUUGAUCGGCCACACUGGAACUGAGACACGGUCCAGACACCUACGGGUGGCAGCAGUAGGGAAUAUUGGGCAAUGGGCGAAAGCCUGACCCAGCCAUGCCGCGUGAGUGAUGAAGGUCCUAGAGAUUGUAAAACUCUUUUCUGAGGAAAGAAUGAAUAGGGAAGGAAAUGUCCUUAUUUUGACGGUACCUCAGGAAUAAGGAACGGCUAACUCCGUG
Molecule: ribosomal RNA, 494 nt
Filed under: uncultured bacterium
Lineage: Bacteria
Description: bacterial SSU rRNA
Rfam family: Bacterial small subunit ribosomal RNA
Source: RNAcentral